GGCGGAGUGUCCGAGUGGUUUAGGACGUGGCCUGCAAAGCCUCGCACGUGGGUUCGAUUCCCGCCUCCGCCU
This is a transfer RNA of Actinospica robiniae DSM 44927, 72 nucleotides long. It matches the Rfam family "tRNA". From Rfam's summary of the family: Transfer RNA (tRNA) molecules are approximately 80 nucleotides in length. Their secondary structure includes four short double-helical elements and three loops (D, anti-codon, and T loops). Lineage: Bacteria; Bacillati; Actinomycetota; Actinomycetes; Catenulisporales; Actinospicaceae. The record is from Rfam.